Molecule: ribosomal RNA, 409 nt
Filed under: uncultured Glomeromycotina
Lineage: Eukaryota; Fungi; Glomeromycota
Description: SSU rRNA
Rfam family: Eukaryotic small subunit ribosomal RNA
Source: RNAcentral
UUGGUAUGCACUGGCUUUACUGAUUCCUCCUUCUUGACGAACCGUGAUGUCAUUAAUUUGGUGUUGCGGGAAAUCAGGACUGUUACUUUGAAAAAAUUAGAGUGUUUAAAGCAGGCUAACGCUUGAAUACAUUAGCAUGGAAUAAUGAAAUAGGACGUUAAUCCUAUUUUGUUGGUUUCUAGGAUCGACGUAAUGAUUAAUAGGGAUAGUUGGGGGCAUUAGUAUUCAAUUGUCAGAGGUGAAAUUCUUGGAUUUAUUGAAGACUAACUACUGCGAAAGCAUUUGCCAAGGAUGUUUUCAUUAAUCAAGAACGAAAGUUAGGGGAUCGAAGACGAUCAGAUACCGUCGUAGUCUUAACCAUAAACUAUGCCGACUAGGGAUCGGAUGAUGUUAAUUCUUUAAUGACUCA